UAUAUAGGAACCGUUUGGUUAUUUAUGAACAUGAUUUUAGUUUAUGUUGGAUUAUUUUGGUUUUUGGUUUGAUUCGGAUAAUAACCUUAGGAACCUGAUAAAAUAGAGUUCAAUUCAGUUUUUUCGUUUCCAUAUUUGGAUAAUUUUGAAUAAUUUGGAUAAAAAAGUUACAUUUUGGAUUUUGUUAGAUACAAUAUCAGAUAACUCGGAUAAAUUUAAAUAUUUUAAACAAUUUUUUUGGGUGAUUCAGUUAUUUCGGAAAAUUAAGACAAUUUUGAAUAUCUCGGAUGAUCAGUAGUAGAGUAAUCUAUUUUUGGGUGUUUCGGUUAUAAGUAGUAUUUUUAGAAUAUUUUACAACUUUAAACUAAGAAUAAUUAAUAUUUUGAGGUUCAUCCUUCAUAUUCAGAUUAAUUAUUUUGGUUUUAUAGCUACAACAUUUUUAUUAGAAUUUUAACAUUUGAGUUUAGAUGUCUAUAAGUUAUUUUAUUUUUUUAGUAUACAUAUUUUUCAGUCAAAUAUUUGUUAAUAUUUCUGGUUGUUUUGAUAUGGACGUUUGGUUUUCGGAUAUGUUCUAAUUUGUAAUUUUUUUAGUUUUUGAUUUAGUUCUGAUUUGAUUGUGAGAGUUAGUUUUUGGUUCAAAAAGAUAUAUAACUGUUUAGUUCUUUAUAAACUCCAUUUCGUUUUUUUUAGUUUUCGGUUUUGUUUAGAAAAAAUGUUAGAAAUCAACUAAAAAUUUUAAGUUCAGUACAAUUUAUGUUUAGUUUAUAAUAUUGAUAAUUUUAAAAUAAAUAUAAUAAAUUAUAUUACUUUGCGUUCUCAUUUAUUUUACUUUCGUAUUAAUUCGGUUCUUAUAUGCAUAAUUAUAUAAAUAUUUUAGAAUAAAUGAUAUAGUAUAUCAAUACAAUUUAAAUAAAGAUGAGAUUAGCUCAGCCAUUAUUUUCAUUAUUGUAUAUAGGCUUUUUCUUUAAUAUCUAUACUUACAUUUGGACUUUGUUUAAUUUUAAUUGUAAAACACGAACUGGGCUUCAGACAAUAUUGUUGCUUUGUUGGUCCAGAAAUAGUCAAUGUAGAGUUUUUUUUUUGUCAAAAUGUCUAAAGUUAUUGGGUGUGAUUGGUUGAAGCUGUAGCUUUCUAUUUUUUGCUAUAAGAUUUAGGCUUUAAAUUUUAAACUUUGACUUUAAUUUAUUUUGGUGUAGAAAAUUUUUCAAAGCACUAAUUAAAAGCUCUAGAAAAUUUUGCUUUCUAAAACUAACAUAUUUCUUAUUUUAAUGUUUUGGCUUUGGAAUCAAUUUUAAAAAUAAAAACAUGAUUGCUUUUAAAAAUGGCUAUAGAAAUUAAAAGUCUAUUUACAGCUUCUAAAUAAAACCAUGAUUGAUUUAAAAGAUGGUUUUAAAAAUUAAAAAGGUUUUCUACAGCUUCUACAGACACUACCAAUCACCUUCUAUAUUUUUUUAAAAAAUUUGUGGUCUGAAUAAUCAUGGAGUUAUCCAGAAGAAAAAUAUCAGAAAGUAGUGUCUGUAAAAAAGAACAACCGACAGAUAGAUCUCUCCAUCCAAAGCGAUGAUUCUGAAAAAACUCAAGAAAUAAAAACAAUAGGAUUGAGAAGUUAAAGGAUCAAAUUUUUCCAGAAAGAGAUCUUUCAAACAUGCAUUCUCUUCACAAUCGGUAAGUUUUUGCUUUGAUUAAAGAUUUCUAGUGUCUCAAUUUUUUUGUUUGUACUCUUACUCUGUAUGUAUUUUGACAUGCAAGAAUAUCCAAGUUGUUAACAAAAUAGUACAAAAGUACAUUUAUAUGAAAUCACCGAUUUGUCCAGAUUCGUUCAAAGCAAGGUUUAACUACAGAUGAAGUUCACCUUUUCACAUAAUCCGACAAAAUAGAAGUAAGUUUUAGAUAUAGCUAUGGUUUAAAAUAAUUUUCUGGUUUUUAUCCUUCUUUUCAUAUGUUGUACUUUUGAGAUAGGACAAACAAAUGAGAAGACUUUUUUUUUUUAAUUAGCAACAACAUUAUCGUACUAUAAAGACUCUAGAGAAGGUGAACUUUUUAUUCUGUUUUGUUAGUCAAAAGACUCAAAACUAAUAGAAAUAUUGUCAAAGUAUAAGGUCUCUUGUUUUGUCCUUGAAAAUACUGUUUGCUUGACUUAGUAGAAGUUUUGACCUGUAGACACAAAAUAAUUUUUGGAUUUCUAAAAGAGCUAUUUUGCUGUAUUGUUCUAUAGGAGUUUCAUACUGCAAAGUCAGAGGAUGACUGAAGUCUCACACUAUAAAGAUAAGUGUUCUCUUAUAACAUAGAUUCUUUCUGUACUUUUGGAGCUUUUAGUAUAUUUUCUCUCUGAUUUUCUUAUAUUAUGCGUUUUCUAAUGAAUUUGUUUUAAAUGUUCUUCAUGGAAGUCCUGUAGUUGGAUAAAAUACAACAAAGAGGGAGCAAGUACGAAGUCUCAAACACUAAAGAUAAGUUUUCUCCUUUGUCUAUUGUCUUGAAGUUCUCGAUCAGUCACAUUAUUAACGAUUGCAGCAUAUAUUAAAUGUUACAAUACUAAUAUGGUAUUUUGUAUUAUAGUUCCCAAACGUUGUAUGGUGGAAUUCCAUAUUCUUUUCAAUCAUGAGCAACGGAAGAAGUGGUUAACAACAUAUACAGCACCAAAGCGUAUUCAGCAGAUCUUCUUAAACGCAGUUUUCUAAAGGGGAGUCCACAAAGAUCAAUACAAAUGAAAAAGAUUGUAAACUUCAGAAAAUACCAAGUUUUGUCAUCUAAAGAGUGAAAAAAUCGAAACUGACUGAAGGAAUUACCAUGAAAUAGGACCCAAGAUGUGUAUCCAUACACUUAGAAGAUAAGUGUUUUACUCAAGACAGUUUAAUACAGAGAUGGCAUGAAAGAUAAUAAAUCCAAAUCAUGAAGGAUAAACGUAUGUACCACUUUGGCUUGGAUCAACAAUGUCGUUUUCCAUGGCCUAAUAUCAUCAACUUUUAAUGUUGAAGCUUGCAGUAUCCAAAAUUUGUGAGGAGACACCUAGCAAAUUUAAAUGUUUAAGCGUCAGUGUUGAUGGAAGGAACAUGAUGAUCUUCUUUUUUUUUUGUGAACAUGAUGAUCUAGAUUUCAAUAUACAAAAAAUUGUUACAUAUUCUGCUAAUGAUAAUCAGUGUGUUUAAGCUAUUCUUGUGAUGGUUUAAGAAAAAAAAAGGUACAACUUUGAUA
Molecule: long non-coding RNA, 3192 nt
Organism: Brassica rapa (field mustard)
Lineage: Eukaryota; Viridiplantae; Streptophyta; Magnoliopsida; Brassicales; Brassicaceae
Source: RefSeq, a predicted model, not a curated record